This 834-nucleotide ribosomal RNA is filed under the name uncultured archaeon. RNAcentral describes it as "bacterial SSU rRNA". It matches the Rfam family "Archaeal small subunit ribosomal RNA", at positions 22 to 859 of the family's 1478-position model. The record is from RNAcentral.
GGCUACUGCUAUUGGAAUGCGACUAACCCAUGCGAGUCAAGGGGUUCUUCGGAGCACCGGCGUAUGGCUCAGUAACAUGUGGGUAACCUACCCUCAGGAGGGGGAUAACCUCGGGAAACUGAGGCUAAUACCCCAUAGAGAAGAGAUACUGGAACGUUCUUUUAUCGAAAGCUCCGGCACCUGAGGAUGGGCCUGCACUCGAUUAGGUUGUUGGUGAGGUAAUGGCUCACCAAGCCUACGAUCGGUACGGGUCGUGAGAGCGAUAGCCCGGAGAUGGGGACUGAGACAAGGCCCCAGGCCCUACGGGGCGCAGCAGGCGCGAAACCUCUGCAAUGUGUGAAAACAUGACAGGGGUAUUCCAAGUGUCCUUGUUUUGCAAGGGCUUUUCUUCGGUCCAAGACGCCGGAGGAAUAAGAGCUGGGUAAGACCGGUGCCAGCCGCCGCGGUAACACCGGCAGCUCAAGUGGUAGCCGCUAUUAUUGGGCCUAAAGCGUUCGUAGCCGGACAAGUAAGUGUUCUGGUAAAUCUCAUAACUUAAUUAUGAGACUUCAGAAUAUACUGCUUGUCUUGAGACCGGGAGAGGCUGGAGGUACUUUUGGGGUAGGGGUAAAAUCCUAUAAUCCCAAAGGGACCACCGGUGGCGAAGGCGUCCAGCCAGAACGGGUCUGACGGUGAGGGACGAAACCCAGGGGAGCGAGUCGGAUUAGAUACCCGGGUAGUCCUGGGCGUAAAUGAUGUGGGCUAGGUGCAAAGCUACCUAAGUGGUAGCUUGGUGCCCAUGGGAAACCGUUAAGCCCACCGCCUGGGGAGUACGGUCGCAAGGCUGAAACUUAA